AGGACGAACGCUGGCGGCGUGCUUCACACAUGCAAGUCGAACGGGGCUCAUUCGGUGGUAACACCGGAGAAGGCCUAGUGGCGAACGGGUGCGUAACACGUGAAGAACCUGCCCCGAAGACUGGGAUAACAGCGGGAAACCGCUGCUAAUACCGGAUGACCCCACCAGGCCGCAUGGCCAGGUGAGGAAAUGGGCCUACCGCUUCGGGAGGGCUUCGCGGCCUAUCAGCUUGUUGGUGGGGUAACGGCCUACCAAGGCUACGACGGGUAGCUGGUCUGAGAGGACGACCAGCCACACUGGGGACUGAGACACGGCCCAGACUCCUACGGGAGGCAGCAGUGGGGAAUCUUGCGCAAUGGGCGAAAGCCUGACGCAGCAACGCCGCGUGAGGGAUGAAGGUCUUCGGGUUGUAAACCUCUUUCGAGCAGGGACGAUUGUGACGGUACCUGCAGAGAAGCUCCGGCAACUACGCGCCAGCAGCCGCGGU
RNAcentral lists this ribosomal RNA (487 nucleotides) under uncultured bacterium. RNAcentral describes it as "SSU rRNA". It matches the Rfam family "Bacterial small subunit ribosomal RNA", at positions 26 to 521 of the family's 1533-position model. The record is from RNAcentral.